UGGGGAAUAUUGCACAAUGGGCGCAAGCCUGAUGCAGCCAUGCCGCGUGUGUGAAGAAGGCCUUCGGGUUGUAAAGCACUUUCAGCGAGGAGGAAGGUGGUGAGCUUAAUACGCUCAUCAAUUGACGUUACUCGCAGAAGAAGCACCGGCUAACUCCGUGCCAGCAGCCGCGGUAAUACGGAGGGUGCAAGCGUUAAUCGGAAUUACUGGGCGUAAAGCGCACGCAGGCGGUUUGUUAAGUCAGAUGUGAAAUCCCCGGGCUCAACCUGGGAACUGCAUUUGAAACUGGCAAGCUAGAGUCUCGUAGAGGGGGGUAGAAUUCCAGGUGUAGCGGUGAAAUGCGUAGAGAUCUGGAGGAAUACCGGUGGCGAAGGCGGCCCCCUGGACGAAGACUGACGCUCAGGUGCGAAAGCGUGGGGCAGCAAACAGGAUUAGAUACCCUGGUAGUCCACGCUGUAAACGAUGUCGAUUUGGAGGUUGUGCCCUUGAGGCGUGGCUUCCGGAGCUAACGCGUUAAAUCGACCGCCUGGGGAGUACGGCCGCAAGGUUAAAACUCAAAUGAAUUGCGGGUC
Molecule: ribosomal RNA, 572 nt
Filed under: uncultured bacterium
Lineage: Bacteria
Description: partial 16S ribosomal RNA
Rfam family: Bacterial small subunit ribosomal RNA
Source: RNAcentral